CGCGCACGCAACGGCGCCGGCGUCGCGCCGCCGCGACCGCCCCGCCGGGAGGCCCUGCACGCACGCGCCGCCGGCCGGGCCAGAUGACCAGAGGAGGGACGCCACCUGGUGGUAAGAGUGUGGAGUGAGCAUUGAGUUCCCUUCUCAAAAUUUGCCUCCAGUAAACAAAAUAAUCCUGCCUUCUAGUCAACCCUAUCAAAGAGCUGAGCAUCAGGGAAAAACUCCGAUCUCCAGGAACAAAUGACAAAAAAAAAAAAAAGUAGAAGGCACUGUUUCCAAAUGGAGCAGAGGAACUGAAAUCCAAGUUAGAGACAUGAUCUAUAAACACACAGGAAAGCAACCAAAAGAAAGCUUGGAUUUGCUCAUCAUUUCAUCUAAAUGUAGUGAUAAUAAUAAUGACUUUCCACUUACUGCGUAAUACUACGUUCCAGAUGCAUGGGUACACUGUGCUGUGUGCUGAACAUAUUUAAUCUCCUUUAAUUCUCAGCAACAACCUUAUAAGGGAGAUAUUACUAUACCCAUUUUAUGGGGAACAAAUGUCAGUUCAGAAAGUUUGAGUAACUCCCAGGAUCACACAGCCAGGACCUGACAAGCUGGGAUUUGACUUCAGGUCUGUGGACUCUGAAACUCAUGAUAUUAACCAUUAGGUUAGACACCUGAUAGAUAUGGCCAUUCAACAGGUUGAAAGUGGAUCUCAUCAUCUUUGCUUCUCUUCCUCCUCCACUUCACACCUCAGCGAACAGCACAACCUGUCCUCCCCACACCUAUCCAGUUGACCAAGCCAGACAUCCAGGCAGGUUUGUUUUUGUUUUUGUCUUUGUCUUAUGUUUGAGACAGAGUCUCACUCUGUCAUCUAGGCUGGAGUGCAGUGGCACCAUCUUGGCUCACUACAACCUCCACCUCCAGGGUUCAAGCAAUUCUCCUGCCUCAGCCUCCCAAGUAGGUGGGGUUACAGGCACCCGCCACCACACCCGGCUAAUUUUUUAUAUUUUUAGUAGAGAGGGUUUCACCAUGUUGGCCAGGCUGCUCUCAAACUCCUGACCUCAAGUGAUCCGCCCACCUCAGCCUCCCAAAGUGCUGGGAUUACAGGCAUGAGCCACUGUGCCUGUCUCACCCAGGAGUUUUGAUACCACACCUAAUCACUCACCAAUUUUGUUGAUUCUCUCUCAUAAAUUCACAUUUUUUUCCUAUGCUCUCUAUCCUCACUGCUGCUGCCUU
This 1218-nucleotide long non-coding RNA is filed under the name Homo sapiens (human). RNAcentral's name for it is "HSALNT0212670". The record is from RNAcentral. Lineage: Eukaryota; Metazoa; Chordata; Mammalia; Primates; Hominidae.